CAGUCGCCGCGGUAAUACGUAGGUCCCGAGCGUUGUCCGGAUUUAUUGGGCGUAAAGCGAGCGCAGGCGGUUAGAUAAGUCUGAAGUUAAAGGCUGUGGCUUAACCAUAGUACGCUUUGGAAACUGUUUAACUUGAGUGCAAGAGGGGAGAGUGGAAUUCCAUGUGUAGCGGUGAAAUGCGUAGAUAUAUGGAGGAACACCGGUGGCGAAAGCGGCUCUCUGCUUGUAACUGACGCUGAGGCUCGAAAGCGUGGGGAGCAAACAGGAUUAGAUACCCGCGUAGUCCCUGUCUCUUAUACAC
Molecule: ribosomal RNA, 301 nt
Filed under: uncultured bacterium
Lineage: Bacteria
Description: partial 16S ribosomal RNA
Rfam family: Bacterial small subunit ribosomal RNA
Source: RNAcentral